RNAcentral lists this ribosomal RNA (252 nucleotides) under uncultured bacterium. RNAcentral's name for it is "partial 16S ribosomal RNA". It matches the Rfam family "Bacterial small subunit ribosomal RNA", at positions 524 to 776 of the family's 1533-position model. The record is from RNAcentral.
GACGUAGGGCGCGAGCGUUGUCCGGAUUUAUUGGGCGUAAAGAGCUCGUAGGCGGCUUGUCGCGUCGUCCGUGAAAACUUGGGGCUCAACCCCAAGCUUGCGGUCGAUACGGGCAGGCUCGAGUUCGGUAGGGGAGACUGGAAUUCCUGGUGUAGCGGUGAAAUGCGCAGAUAUCAGGAGGAACACCGGUGGCGAAGGCGGGUCUCUGGGCCGAUACUGACGCUGAGGAGCGAAAGCGUGGGAGCGAACAGG